This 470-nucleotide ribosomal RNA is filed under the name uncultured bacterium. RNAcentral describes it as "bacterial SSU rRNA". It matches the Rfam family "Bacterial small subunit ribosomal RNA", at positions 335 to 802 of the family's 1533-position model. The record is from RNAcentral.
ACUCCUACGGGAGGCAGCAGUGGGGAAUAUUGCACAAUGGGGGAAACCCUGAUGCAGCCAUGCCGCGUGUGUGAAGAAGGCCUUCGGUUGUAAAGCACUUUCAGUAGGAGGAAGGUAGUGUAGUUAACACCUGCAUUAUUUGACGUUACCUACAGAAGAAGCACCGGCUAACUCCGUGCCAGCAGCCGCGGUAAUACGGAGGGUGCGAGCGUUAAUCGGAAUUACUGGGCGUAAAGCGCAUGCAGGCGGCCUGUUAAGUCAGAUGUGAAAGCCCGGGGUCUUAACCUCGGAAUUGCAUUUGAAACUGGCAGGCUAGAGUCUUGUAGAGGGGUUAGAAUUUCAGGUGUAGCGGUGAAAUGCGUAGAGAUCUGAAGGAAUCCAAGUGGCGAAGGCGGCCCCUGGACAAAGACUGACGCUCAGAUGCGAAAGCGUGGGAGCAAACAGGAUUAGAUACCCCUGGUAGACUGUCA